Molecule: ribosomal RNA, 457 nt
Filed under: uncultured bacterium
Lineage: Bacteria
Description: bacterial SSU rRNA
Rfam family: Bacterial small subunit ribosomal RNA
Source: RNAcentral
UACGGGAGGCAGCAGUGGGGAAUAUUGCACAAUGGGCGAAAGCCUGAUGCAGCUAUGCCGCGUGUAUGAAGAAGGCCUUAGGGGUUGUAAAGUACUUUCAUCGGGGAGGAAAAACAAAACUAAUAAUUUUAUUUCUUGACGUUACCCGAAAAAGAAGCACCGGCUAACUCCGUGCCAGCAGCCGCGGUAAUACGGAGGGUGCUAGCGUUAAUCAGAAUUACUGGGCGUAAAGAGCACGUAGGUGGUUUUUUUAAGUCAGAUGUGAAAUCCUGGGCUUAACCUAGGAACUGCAUUUUGAAACUGAAAUACUAGAGUAUCGUAGAGGGAGGUAGAAUUCUAGGUGUAGCGGUGAAAUGCGUAGAUAUCUGGAGGAAUACCUGUGGCGAAAGCGGCCUCCUAAACGAAUACUGACACUGAGGGUGCGAAAGCGUGGGGAGCGAAACAGGGAUUAGAUACC